CCUACGGGUGGCAGCAGUGAGGAAUAUUGGUCAAUGGCCGCAGGGCUGAACCAGCCAAGUCGCGUGAGGGAUGACGGUCCUAUGGAUUGUAAACCUCUUUUGUCAGGGAGCAAAGGGCGCCACGUGUGGCGUUUUGCGAGUACCUGAAGAAAAAGCAUCGGCUAACUCCGUGCCAGCAGCCGCGGUAAUACGGAGGAUGCGAGCGUUAUCCGGAUUUAUUGGGUUUAAAGGGUGCGCAGGCGGAAUGUCAAGUCAGCGGUAAAAUUUCGGGGCUCAACCCCGUCGUGCCGUUGAAACUGGGAGGCUUGAGUAUGUUUGAGGCAGGCGGAAUGCGUGGUGUAGCGGUGAAAUGCUUAGAUAUCACGCAGAACCCCGAUUGCGAAGGCAGCCUGCCAAGCCAUGACUGACGCUGAUGCACGAAAGCGUGGGGAUCAAACAGGAUUAGAUACCCGGGUAGUC
RNAcentral lists this ribosomal RNA (459 nucleotides) under uncultured bacterium. Its description in RNAcentral is "partial 16S ribosomal RNA". It matches the Rfam family "Bacterial small subunit ribosomal RNA", at positions 338 to 795 of the family's 1533-position model. The record is from RNAcentral.